This 285-nucleotide ribosomal RNA is filed under the name Triticum aestivum (bread wheat). RNAcentral's name for it is "partial small subunit ribosomal RNA". The record is from RNAcentral. Lineage: Eukaryota; Viridiplantae; Streptophyta; Magnoliopsida; Poales; Poaceae.
AUGGUUGAACUUAAAAGGAAUGUCAUGUUUCACGUUGUUUAUCACCUCAUUGAGUUGGCAUUGCUACUACCAGUAGCGACGACAACAGUUGAAAGAGCCUUCUCAUCAAUGAAAAUCAUCGAAACUAAGUUGCGUAGCAAGAUGUCUGAUGACUGGCUUAAUGACUUGUUGAUGUCUUAUAUUGAGCGAGAGAUCUCCCGAAGUAUUGAUCUUGGUAAAAUUAAGGAAGAUUUUCAGAAAGAGGGUAGUGCACUGGCAUUGCAUGGGUCUUCUAGACGCCAUUAA